AUCUGAGUCGGCUUCAGAUGUAAAUACUAGUCUUUUUGGGGGUGUUAAAUUGAUUUUUUUGAGAGGUUGAGAGAGACUUGUCUAAUAGAAUCUGUAAUACCGUAUUGGAGUUGGGACAUCCUGAUGAAAAGCUCUUGACCUGUUUCAUAUUUACUUGAACAGUGGCUGAAAUCUGCAGUCCUCUAGGUUGCUACAAGUAGGCAAAGUGGAAACUGGGUAUGGUAACUGUUUCUCGCAUAAAUCUGAAGGUUGAAAGAUGCUGGUAAUGUGGUGACAUCAUGCUGUUGUGAUAUCAUUUGUUCUCCUUUUUAGAUCUGCUGUAUCUACACCCUUCUGUGCUGCCUGUGGUUUGGUUAGAUCCCAGAAAGUACAUUGGAGUCUAGAAAUUAUUUACUGUUUGGGUUUUUUUUAUUAUUAUCCCUUCUUUUCAAUGGGUGUAUUUUUUGAGUUUGAAAUCCAUUCAUCAAUACCAAGCCCAAUAUGGUAUUUGUAUAUUGGUGAGGAUUGAGUUACAUUUCUUGAAGAUUAGAAAAAAGUCUCUGUUCUGCCUUCAGAAUCGGAGUGCAAUUAAAUGAGUGGUGGAGUAAGGAGAACCUCAUAUAUGUGAGAACGAAAAUAAUGACAAUAAUUAUGUUGUUAUAGAUGUGAUCAUGAAAUUUGGAUAAACUACCACUUGCUAGUGGUAGUUUAAUCCCUGAAAAAGGAUUAGAAAUACAUAUAGCAUACAGAAAAAAGGCAUUUGUGCUUCUUAGCUGUGUUCAUAUGCCAAAGUCUAAUUUCAGAAAUUAUUUUAUUAUUUUUCUGCACUUUCAUGCAUCAAAAACAUUAGCUUGUGUAAAAUCUUUAUACUUUUGUCAGUCCCAAGUAAUUGUCAUUUUAUCUGUUAGUGUGCUGCUAUAGAUCCCAUUUUUCUUGCUUUCCUCUUUCCCAGUGCUGGUUUUCCAACCUAGAUCAUUACUUUGAGUGUGCUGGAACAGCAUUCCAUGCAUAUUUUUAAUUGUCAACAGGUUUUUUCUGAGGGUUAAAGUGACAAUUUCAAAUAACGUGCCAGGGCCCUUUAUUCUAAUAUGUCAUUGUUGCAAUUUUUAAUGUUUUUAUUAGUGUUUGGUUGCUUUUGCUGCAUUUAGUCUUGUAACAUUUCAUUUAAACUGUUAACCAGUACAACUGUUCAAACGCUUUCAAUUACAGCAAUAUAAUUGUAGGUUAUAUUCAAGAGAAAUGUAAUUCUCUGGUCAUGGACAGUAGAGACAAAGGAAAAUAACUUCCAUUAGAUUAAAGUAAUAAAAAAAGCAGAUUUAUGUAAAUAUGUAAUGCAUAUGUAAACAAUGGAACAGUAAAUUUGUCUGUGCCAUGGAACAGAAGCUUAGCUUUCCUUUAUCUCCAGCAUUGUCUUGAUGCCCAUCUCUUCAUCUGUUUCUCAGUUUCAGUGUUUUAACUUCAGAUUUCUCUAAUUUUGUUCACCCCCAAACAGUAGCAUGUCAAAGACCUCGGCAUGACUCCAGUUACAGAUGUAUCAUUUUGGAAGGAUUAGGGAAUGAUAUGCCAGAACAAGGUCCUAGAAUAACGUUGAAGAGGCUUCUGGGUCUGGACCACUAUUGGCAACCAGAAGAAUCAAAGUUUUGAUUCACUGUUGCAAAUCCCCAGGCGCCUUCCUUUAAUUGAGGUCUGCAGUGGCUGACUUCUUAAAAUUAACUAUUAUAUUAAUUUCUGAUGGAAAAGGCUUCUAGUCUGAUGCUCCCAAUCCAUCUCAGCCAGAACUAUUAUAUUUCUCUACCUUAUGAAAAUUGCAGUUGAGGAGAAUUCUGGUUUAUUUCAACAGGUCAGGU
Long non-coding RNA from Calidris pugnax (ruff), 1826 nucleotides. RefSeq lists it as uncharacterized. The record is from RefSeq and is a predicted model, not a curated record. The transcript is spliced from 3 exons. Lineage: Eukaryota; Metazoa; Chordata; Aves; Charadriiformes; Scolopacidae.